AGAUUGGGUCUGUUGUUUUAUCUGUUAAACAGUAAAAAUAAUGGUAGCAAAUCAUAGGUAUUGGUGGUGGGUGGUGGUGGAGGGUUUUGAUUUCAAUUUUUUUUUUCACUUUAUUAAUUGAAUUGUCAAAAUUGGAAUCAAAUCAUAGGUAUGGGUAGUGAUGGGUAGUGACGGGUGGUAUAAGGUGGUGGUGGUGGGUGGUGGUGUUGGAUAUUCAGUUUAUCAAUUUUAAAAACUAUGGGUUUGUUGUAAUUGAUCCUAAAUUUUCAUAUCUAGAAAAGUUUAUCACCACUCACUGCAUUCCAAAGAGAAUAUGAUAGUAAAGAGUUUAGAACAUAGCUAUAUAGUGAUAAGUAAAUGACAGUAAAGAGUUUAGGACAUUUGUUGUUGUUAGUUUUCUAUUUUCCCAUGUAUUACUGAAAAUAAUUUGCACCUGAUCACCACAUGCAACUUCAUAUCCUGGGUUUGAUAGCUCUUCUUGUGUAUUUAUCUGAAGUAAAAGAAAGUUUCAUCAUGAAUUGUGGUACAAUAAAGAUUCUACCACAGUUGCGCCAGUUGGACAGAAUCCUAAGGUUAGUAAAAAGUUGGCAUUCUUCCAAGUGCAAUUGGAUAUAUCGCAUCAGAUCUCGUAUGUCCUUAGAAGUUCGUAACCGAAGAACCCCCAAAGGAGAGCUUGACGUUCCAGAGCACAUCCUCAACUGAAUAAAAAGUUCCGGGAGCUGCAAAUAAGUAAAGUACAUUGGGAGUGUUAUUGUUGAUCCCCAAGCUGUGCACCUCGAUAAAGCAACAUACAGUUGGCCAUGGCUGAACAUGGGGGUCUGUAAAUCAAUUCCCACAUACUUUACAGAUUGUCCUUGAGAUUUAUUGAUUGUCAUCGCAUAAGCCACUCGUACUGGAAACUGACGCUUUGUCAUGUUUACGUUUAAUUCUGACGCUGAUGGUUUAAAUGAAAUUCUUGGUAGCAACACCUUUUCACCUGCUUUAUCUCCGGUUAAAAUUAUUCCCUGGAUCACAUGUUUACGGCAUUUGGUAACCAGUAACCUGGUACCAUUGCAAAGUCCCUCUGAAGGGGAGAGAUUUCUCAUCAAAAUAACUGGACAACCAACUUUUAGAUCUAACUUGAAUGGAGGCAUCCCUGGUGGGUUUAGAUUUUGAAGAUUUUCAUUAGAAUAAUCUGGAAUUCUUCCGCUUUCAUCUGGAUUUAAUUUAUCAGCAGCUAAAUAUGUAAAUGUCUUCCCUUUCAAAAUAUUCAGUGCUUCGAUGUUAAUCUUGUGAAGAUCAUCAUUGCGCGCUGAGAGAAUGAUUCUCUCAGUUAGUUGUUCGAGCGAUACUUGUUGAGAUGUUCCCAAACAUGGAUACAAUUUGGAUAUCAGCUCUUUUAUGUUUCCGCAUCUAUUCACCGGUGAUGGCAGUACUACUUUUUCUUCUUGCUUUGUUCCAACCUGAAAAAUUUGUUUAACCGAAUAUAAAUAUCUUUUCUGGCUGUACAGUUUGUAUGAUAUUUAAUUGGACUUUUUAAAUUAUUACCUCGAGCAAGAACUUAGCGAAA
Papaver somniferum (opium poppy) is the source of this 1549-nucleotide long non-coding RNA. RefSeq lists it as uncharacterized. NCBI's taxonomy places the organism in Eukaryota, Viridiplantae, Streptophyta, Magnoliopsida, Ranunculales, Papaveraceae. The record is from RefSeq and is a predicted model, not a curated record. The transcript has 3 exons.